Molecule: ribosomal RNA, 397 nt
Filed under: uncultured bacterium
Lineage: Bacteria
Description: bacterial SSU rRNA
Rfam family: Bacterial small subunit ribosomal RNA
Source: RNAcentral
AUUGAACGCUGGCGGCAGGCCUAACACAUGCAAGUCGAGCGGAUGAGUGGAGCUUGCUCCAUGAUUCAGCGGCGGACGGGUGAGUAAUGCCUAGGAAUCUGCCUGGUAGUGGGGGACAACGUUUCGAAAGGAACGCUAAUACCGCAUACGUCCUACGGGAGAAAGCAGGGGACCUUCGGGCCUUGCGCUAUCAGAUGAGCCUAGGUCGGAUUAGCUAGUUGGUGAGGUAAUGGCUCACCAAGGCGACGAUCCGUAACUGGUCUGAGAGGAUGAUCAGUCACACUGGAACUGAGACACGGUCCAGACUCCUACGGGAGGCAGCAGUGGGGAAUAUUGGACAAUGGGCGCAAGCCUGAUCCAGCCAUGCCGCGUGCAGGAUGAAGGCCUCGGUUGUAAC